This 525-nucleotide ribosomal RNA is filed under the name Triticum aestivum (bread wheat). RNAcentral describes it as "partial small subunit ribosomal RNA". The record is from RNAcentral. Lineage: Eukaryota; Viridiplantae; Streptophyta; Magnoliopsida; Poales; Poaceae.
AUGGGCACGUCUUCUGAAAGCUGCAAGCUGCAGGAUGAGCAAUACCAGUACUACAAGAACUUGGAUGACGAAAAGAAGUAUUUCUUGGUGCUUAUGUUGGGUGAUUUCCAAGAUGCGAUGAUAAUUCCAGAAGAAGUUGUCCGGCGUUUCAAAGGCGAGAUCCCAGGAGAGAUCAAGCUGGAAACCCGAAAUGGUUACAGUCACACUAUUGUGGUUGCCAAGAACCAAGAAAAGCGUGUUCUUACAGUCCAAGACAAGCGCAACGAGGCACAUGAAAUCGGGUAUUCUCAAAAGAUGGAUGUGCCUCGGGAAAGAAGAGAAAGCCGGACUGAAUACCACUACACAAACUUGGAUGAUGAGAAGAAAUAUUUCAUGGUGCUUAUGAUGGACGAUUUGCAACAUGAGAUGUUCAAGUUGCUAAAGACUCGAGCAUUUCUCUCCUUCCACAAGCUCCAGCAGAUUAACAUCACCAGCCACCAAUCACCAAGAAUAUCAUUUCGGGAGGGAAUGUCAUCUGAUGGAUAA